UGGGGAAUUUUGGACAAUGGGCGCAAGCCUGAUCCAGCCAUGCCGCGUGCGGGAAGAAGGCCUUCGGGUUGUAAACCGCUUUUGUCAGGGAAGAAAUCCUUUGAGCUAAUACCUCGGGGGGAUGACGGUACCGUAAGAAUAAGCACCGGCUAACUACGUGCCAGCAGCCGCGGUAAUACGUAGGGUGCGAGCGUUAAUCGGAAUUACUGGGCGUAAAGCGUGCGCAGGCGGUUUUGUAAGACAGAGGUGAAAUCCCCAGGCUCAACCUGGGAAUUGCCUUUGUGACUGCAAGGCUUGAGUGCGGCAGAGGGGGAUGGAAUUCCGCGUGUAGCAGUGAAAUGCGUAGGUAUGCGGAGGAAAACCGAUGGUGAAGGCAAUCCCCUGGGCCUGCACUGACGCUCAUGCACGAAAGCGUGGGGAGCAAACA
This 427-nucleotide ribosomal RNA is filed under the name uncultured bacterium. Its description in RNAcentral is "bacterial SSU rRNA". It matches the Rfam family "Bacterial small subunit ribosomal RNA", at positions 355 to 774 of the family's 1533-position model. The record is from RNAcentral.